UACAUGGGGUGCAAACGUUGCUCGGAAUUAUUGGGCGUAAAGGGCGCGUAGGCGGUUUGACAAGUCUGAUGUGAAAUCUAUGGGCUCAACCCAUAGCCUGCAUUAGAAACUGUCGGGCUUGAGUAUGGGAGAGGUGAGUGGAAUUUCCGGUGUAGCGGUGAAAUGCGUAGAUAUCGGAAGGAACACCUGUGGCGAAAGCGGCUCACUGGACCAUAACUGACGCUGAGGCGCGAAAGCUAGGGGAGCAAACAGG
RNAcentral lists this ribosomal RNA (253 nucleotides) under uncultured bacterium. RNAcentral describes it as "partial 16S ribosomal RNA". It matches the Rfam family "Bacterial small subunit ribosomal RNA", at positions 524 to 776 of the family's 1533-position model. The record is from RNAcentral.